This 514-nucleotide ribosomal RNA is filed under the name uncultured bacterium. RNAcentral describes it as "partial 16S ribosomal RNA". It matches the Rfam family "Bacterial small subunit ribosomal RNA", at positions 28 to 523 of the family's 1533-position model. The record is from RNAcentral.
GAUGAACGCUGGCGGCGUGCCUAAUACAUGCAAGUCGAGCGAACAGAUGAGAAGCUUGCUUCUCUGAUGUUAGCGGCGGACGGGUGAGUAACACGCGGGUAACCUACCUAUAAGAGUGGGAUAACUCCGGGAAACCGGGGCUACUACCGGAUAAGAUUUUGAACCGCAUGGUUCCAUAGUGAAAGACGGUUACGACUCACACUUAUAGAUUGAACCGCUCCGUAUUAGCUAGUUGGUAAGGUAACGGCUUACCAAGGCGACGAUACGUAGCCGACCUGAGAGGGUGAUCGGCAACACUGGAACUGAGACACGGUCCAGACUCCUACGGGAGGAAGCAGUAGGGAAUCUUCCGCAAUGGGCGAAAGCCUGACGGAGCAACGCCGCGUGAGUGAUGAAGGUCUUCGGAUCGCAAAACUCUGUUGUUAGGGAAGAACAAAUUUGUUAGUAACUGAACAAGUCUUGACGGUACCUAACCAGAAAGCCACGGCUAACUACGUGCCAGCCGCCGCCGUAA